GGGGUUGUAGCUCAGUGGUAGAGUGCUUGCCUUGGAUACACGAGGCCCUGGGUUCGAUCCUCAGCACCACA
This 71-nucleotide transfer RNA is filed under the name Marmota monax (woodchuck). RNAcentral's name for it is "tRNA.Pro". It matches the Rfam family "tRNA". Rfam says of the family: Transfer RNA (tRNA) molecules are approximately 80 nucleotides in length. Their secondary structure includes four short double-helical elements and three loops (D, anti-codon, and T loops). The record is from RNAcentral. Lineage: Eukaryota; Metazoa; Chordata; Mammalia; Rodentia; Sciuridae.